GGCUCAGAUUGAACGCUGGCGGCAGGCCUAACACAUGCAAGUCGAGCGGGUUUUCGGACCUAGCGGCGGACGGUGAGUAAUGCGUAGGAAGCUACCCGAUAGAGGGGAUACCAGUUGGAAGCGACUGUUAAUACCGCAUAACGUCUACGGACCAAAGUGUGGGACCUUCGGGCCACAUGCUAUCGGAUGCGCCUACGUGGGAUUAGCUAGUUGGUGAGGUAAUGGCUCACCAAGGCGACGAUCUCUAGCUGGUUUGAGAGGAUGAUCAGCCACACUGGAACUGAGACACGGUCCAGACUCCUACGGGAGGCAGCAGUGGGGAAUAUUGGACAAUGGGCGCAAGCCUGAUCCAGCCAUGCCGCGUGUGUGAAGAAGGCCUUAGGGUUGUAAAGCACUUUCAGCGAGGAGGAAGGGUGAGUGUUAAUAGUACUCAUCUUUGACGUUACUCGCAGAAGAAGCACCGGCUAACUCUGUG
RNAcentral lists this ribosomal RNA (475 nucleotides) under uncultured bacterium. Its description in RNAcentral is "bacterial SSU rRNA". It matches the Rfam family "Bacterial small subunit ribosomal RNA", at positions 21 to 507 of the family's 1533-position model. The record is from RNAcentral.